GGCCAGUCUAAAUCCUUCAUACAAUCAUUAAAUCAUCAAUAAUUUCAUAUGAUAUUUCUUGUUCAAUUUCAAAACAACCAAUGUCUUAUUCCAAGGUCAACCAUAACACUAUAGAUCCAAAACCCCUUUCAAGGUCAACCGGUCGAUCUGGAUUUGUUUAGAUGUAUGGACCCUCCACUAGCCUAUAGGGUAUCUAAAGAGAGAAAAAGAAGAGAAGA
RNAcentral lists this long non-coding RNA (218 nucleotides) under Elaeis guineensis (African oil palm). Its description in RNAcentral is "long non-coding RNA (EGUI_LNC028654)". Lineage: Eukaryota; Viridiplantae; Streptophyta; Magnoliopsida; Arecales; Arecaceae. The record is from RNAcentral.